GAUGAACGCUGGCGGCGUGCUUAACACAUGCAAGUCGAACGAAGCACUUUAUUUGAUUUCCUUCGGGACUGAUUAUUUUGUGACUGAGUGGCGGACGGGUGAGUAACGCGUGGGUAACCUGCCUUGUACAGGGGGAUAACAGUUGGAAACGGCUGCUAAUACCGCAUAAGCGCACAGCAUCGCAUGAUGCAGUGUGAAAAACUCCGGUGGUAUAAGAUGGACCCGCGUUGGAUUAGCUAGUUGGUGAGGUAACGGCCCACCAAGGCGACGAUCCAUAGCCGAGCUGAGAGGGUGACCGGCCACAUUGGGACUGAGACACGGCCCAAACUCCUACGGGAGGCAGCAGUGGGGAAUAUUGCACAAUGGGCGAAAGCCUGAUGCAGCGACGCCGCGUGAGCGAAGAAGUAUUUCGGUAUGUAAAGCUCUAUCAGCAGGGAAGAUAAUGACGGUACCUGACUAAGAAGCACCGGCUAAAUACGUG
This 481-nucleotide ribosomal RNA is filed under the name uncultured bacterium. Its description in RNAcentral is "partial 16S ribosomal RNA". It matches the Rfam family "Bacterial small subunit ribosomal RNA", at positions 28 to 507 of the family's 1533-position model. The record is from RNAcentral.